This 3820-nucleotide long non-coding RNA is filed under the name Sus scrofa (pig). Its description in RNAcentral is "lncRNA (ENSSSCG00035063692.1)". The record is from RNAcentral. Lineage: Eukaryota; Metazoa; Chordata; Mammalia; Artiodactyla; Suidae.
CUGUGACCUAUGCUGCAGUUCUUGCAGCAACACUGGAUUCUUAACCCACUGAGCAAGGCCAGGGACUGAAUCCCAUCCUCACAGAGACUGUGUCAGGACUUUAACCUGCUGAGCCACAACAGGAAAUCUAAUCUCUGAGUUCUAAAGCUUCAAAAGUAGCCUUAAAGUAAGUAAAAUAGUCCUCUAAAUUUUGCCACUUAAUGAUCUUACUUUUUGGGUAAGUAAUUUGUGUAAAGACCAAAGUUGCAGUCAUGGGAUUAGACUAGUUCAGGGUUAUCUACAUGCCUUAGUGGGUCGUUAAUAAAGAAGUAAGGCCAUUGCAUAAAACACAGCUGUGUCAUUCCAAGUUAAUGAGCCUUCUCUGUGCCUGGUCUGUCCAUGCACUACUGUGUAGAUAGGAGUUUCUUAUCAGCCUACACAUUUUGCAUCAACAUAUCAGGGUGUUCUAUUUGGGUCUGGAAGCUCAGAUAUAAAGAAUAUUUAUCACGCUAAGAUUAGUAAGAGUUACCAUACGCACAGAGUGGCAGAUUCUUGCACACAGAGAUGUGUUUGACACUGCGUGCUAUCUUUCAGCACUAUACAGAAUGAGCACCCUAGUUGGAAACUAUUUUUCUCUUCACUGAACAUAGUAGUGCUUUAUCUGCUCUUCACCAGUAGCAGGGUUUUAUAAAAUAUCUCUUCUCUCCUCUAAUAAACCGCAAGUGGUUUGGGGGCCAUUUCUGGAUGCCUUGCAAAACGUAGGUGCUCCAUAAAUGGAUGAGUAUCGGAGGCUCAUAUAACAUUUGGUUGACAUGGGCCACUGCAUGUUUCUUCAGACCUGGAGGUGGAUUUUCUUGCUCUGUUUCCAGAAUUGGACACUAAGGGUCAUAGUCUAGAGAGUUGCUCACUGAGCCAAGCUGGGAUUAAGCCUGGAACACUGGCCCAACUGGUUAGGUGCGCUAAUGAAACACACUUGCCUUAAAGAUCACUUAAACAUAUGAACAAAAGUCAGGGAGGAAGACCUUUUUUCCUACCCUUCUAGGUUCUCCUGGCUGGUCUACGAAUUAAAUUAGACAAUUAACAUGAGAUAAUAAAACAAAAGUUUAAUAAUAUGUAAACAUGGGAGAGACCCAGAAAAACUAACUUGCCAAAAUGGCCAAAACCCUCAUUUUAAAUGUCAUCUUCAACUACGGUCAGAACGGAUGUUGUGGGUAGUAGUGUGGAACUUCAGAGGGGAGGAAAGCAACUCACAUGGAGAUGGAAAAGCAAAUGUUUGGUAAACAAAUGUUGGUUGGGUCGUGCGGAGACAAUGGGAUACAGUGUGGACUCUGAUCUCUAGGCCUACAUUUCUCCCACCACACUCAGCCCAUAUUCUUUGCUGAUAACCUCUGGCGAUGGCUCUAUUCCCAAAACAGGUCCUCUAUCUAGAUUCUUUUAGGCAGUUAGAGGGAAGGUCAAAGUAUCCUCCUGAGUCUUUUGGGCCUUGCUUGGUUUUUGCUCAAAAUAAUUUGUAUGCCAAAGAGACAUCCUGGGGCGGCAAAUUUUGCUCCCCUACAUAGAAGUACCCCAGAGGAAAGGAGCAUGAUACUGGAGAGGCAGCGAAUCCUAACAAUUCCACACCUGCCAUGGAUGCUGGUACCCUGAUUGGCUCAGGGUUCUCAUGGCAACCUUCACUUGCUACCUGCUGUCACUCAUGAGAUGCUUGGCUGGUUGCCACCUUUUUUCAGCUUGCUAGGCUUAGGAAGAACCUGAAAGGAAGCAGGGAUGGGGUGAUGCAUUAUAGCAGGAAUAAUGACUAUUCCCAAGCAAAAAUUAGUUUUAAAUGAUCAAAUGGCUAUUUACCUGCACUUUUAUACUUGUAAUGAGCACUUCUCAAUUAUCUUAAAAGAAAUAUGUCAGAACGUUCAAGAAAUAUUCUAGAUCAUUUCUAGAAAGAGCUAUAAUUUUCAUUUAAAAAUUCUUGUAUAUAUAUUUGCUCUUAGAUUCUGCAAGCUCAUACUCCUAAAUAUGAAAACAUAUUUAAUUUCUAACUCAAUGAGAAGAAAAAGACAUCAAUAUUAACUUUUGUUUAAAUGUGUUAUGCAAUUCAAUAUGUGCAUGUGUUUGUAAGAAAAUCAUGGCUUUAAAAUUCUAUAAAUAGAAAACAUCUUUAUAUUUUAUAACUGAUCAUGCUCACAUAUAAAUCAUUGAUUUCUCUAUUCCUAUACAUAGACUUGUUCUUAAACCUUUCAUUCUAACAGCUUUCUGAGUUUGUUGACAAAUGACCAACCAUAAAAUAGAUAAUUAAGAUAUUAAAAAAUAAGCAAAACAAACCAGCAAAAAAAUAAAAUAAAGCUCCCAAAGCAAACAGCAUAUUUUAGAGGGAAAAUAAUUAAAGUGCUUAAAAGAAAGCUCUAUAAAUGUUAAGAAGAUAUAUUUUUAAAACCCCACAGAAAACAAAAUGAUUUCAUAACCACAUUAAGAGAACAAUCAUUUGAGUAUAUUUACUCCAAUGUAAACAAAUAGAGGAAAAAAGGAGAGAGGCUGAAAAUAGCCAGGCUUACACAGAAAGUUAAACCUUAAAGAGUUCCCAUUGUGGCUCAGUGGUUAAAGAACUUGACUAGUACCCAUGAGGACACAGGUUCCAUGCCUGGCCUCGCUCAGUGGGUUGAGGAUCCAGCAUUGCCAUAAACUGUGAGCUGUGGUGAAGGUCGCAGACGUGGCUUGGAUCCUGCAUUGCUGUGCUGUAGUGUAGGCUGGUGGCUACGGCUCUGAUUAGACCCCUAGCCUGGGAACCUCCAUAUGCCAUGGGAACAGCCCUAAAAAGACAAAAAAGUCAAAAAAAAAAAAAAAAAAGAAGAAAGAAAGAAAGUUAAACCUUAAAACGGCAUGAGGCUAGAUUUGAAAUCAGAUGCUCUGGAUGCUAUGUUCAGGUACUCAGACCCAAACAACUUGGUACUGUGCUUCAAAUUUUUGUUUCAAAAAAUAUUAACAAGUAAUAAUAAAUUAUAUGAUUGAACUCCAUUCCAUUCUUUGUUCAAAAUUCUGUCAUACACCGAAGAGCUCAGGCUGGGCCUCUGGUUUUCCGCUGCUCCAGGUAAUAUGAUUACGAUGGACCCCAGUGCUCUCCACCUAUCAAUGUCAAUCUGCCUGGACUGUUCCACGACAUCUUUUAUCAGUGAGAGCUGCCUGGUCUUUCAUGCCAGAGCCUUACAGGACCAAAGGUUUUAUUACAUUAAUAUGUUUCUGACUAAUUCUACCUUAUCUACUUAUUCACCUUACCUUUAAAACCCAAUUAAAAUCUAAUUUAUCUCAUCUUUGGAUUCUGAACACUAUUUGGCAAUGAAUCUAACAGUCCUGUAGUAACUACAUUACUCCACAUUGUGCCUUAAGGUGUUCUAGAUAAUACCUUAAAAAAAAUUGGCAAUUGCCAUUUAAAGCUACAGUGAUGUCUUUGAGGCUGCCUCCAUCUCAUUUGAAGAACAAAUGCUUUGUCCUUAUGCAAAAGGUACAUAGUAUGAUUUUAUACCUGUGGUUUUAGUUAUAAUUUAUGUGCAUAAAUGUGAAUAGAUCAUUGCUUUUCUUAAAUUUUUAUUCACUUUUUAAAAAUGUCAGAUAAUAAAGUCUUCUGACAGCUACAAAUUCCUCCAACACAUACACACAUCACAUACACACACGUACACACACACAGCAAUGUUUUAUAAUCUUCCAAAUUGUGGAUAUACUCAUACGUAUAAAUGUUACACUGAGAAAUCUCUUUAUUUAGAAUGUCAGUCCAAAAAAAUCCAUGCUACUGUGUUUCUGAUACUCCAUUUUCUUAAGCUGUGAAAAAAAGUCAUGCAAUGUUGAUACUAAUUCUGUU